Long non-coding RNA from Sphaeramia orbicularis (orbiculate cardinalfish), 301 nucleotides. RefSeq lists it as uncharacterized. The record is from RefSeq and is a predicted model, not a curated record. The transcript has 4 exons. NCBI's taxonomy places the organism in Eukaryota, Metazoa, Chordata, Actinopteri, Kurtiformes, Apogonidae.
AGUAUGUACAGCAGUAAAAACAGAAGUUUCAGUGUAAAAACAGCUUCUAUAAAUCAAAGUGGCAGAAUUUAGUGUGACUUCCAUCUGUUCUUAUUAUGGCUUUAACCCUUUUGUUCUGACAUUAUGAGAUUAAUUUCAUCAAUUGUAUUAUGUUUUAUACCAGGUUUCAUUCAACAUACUGUAUAUCAGAUGUUUCAAAUGUUGCUUGUUAUCAUGUGGUCAGGGGCCACAAUAAAUAGUGACUUUAGCCUUUAGAACACAUUUAGUUCUGUUUUUUUUUAACUGAAGAAAAGAGAAUGAC